CAAAAGCACCGGAUCUAGGGUGGGGAGAGUCCCCCACCUCCUACUCCAUUUAGGGCUUGUUUGGUUCAUCCAUUUUGGGUAUGGAAUGAAAAUCGGUUUGAUUAAAUCUGGUUAAUUUUUUUUGGUUCGCAUGAAUCUGUUUGGGAUUCCUAUUCUGGACUGGAAUGAGAAUGACCCAUUAGCCUUCAACUUGAUUCCGGUCUUCUAGCCCGGAUUGAGAUUUCAUUCCGGAAGCCCACUAAGUUCUCGAAGCCCAUGUGACCAUCUCACCCUCCAUCUCUUCACCCCUUUCUCAUCAAAAAAAAAAACCUAUCCUCUCUCAAAACCUUAUCCCUAACCCACAACAAUAAAAGUUUUUAAAAAUAAAUUUGAUAUUUUUUUUGGAAAACUUAUUAGAGAAUAGUAUUAUAUUUUUCAUAAAUUUAAAAUAAUAUAAAUUUAUAUUUGAGAGUAAAAUUAGUAUUAUAGUAUCCUAUAAUUUUUUUAGUUUAUACGAACCAAACAAUGAAAUGUAAAUAACUAAUUCUAAUUCCCAAUCCACAAAUAAACAAAACGUCCUGGGGGAGUGGGCCAUUCCAAUUACCAUUCCAAUUCAUUCCUAUUCCAUUAUCGAUUCCAAUUCCAUCCUUAAACCAAACAAGCCCUUAUUGUUAGGUUGGGGUGGAUUCGGAGUGAAUUAAUUUUAAUCCUAUUUUUGGCUCCCACUUAUCACUCCAUUCGGGGCACAUGAAGGUGGGAGCAGAUUAUUGGGGGAUUAGGGAGGAUCAAAGGAAAAAAAAGAAAGAGGUCUCCCACCUUCCGCUUCAUUACUUGGUGGAUCGAGAUGAAUUCGGAGCGAAUUAUAUUUUUCUAUAUUUUUAGUUCCCACUUACCGUCCCAUCUGGCGCGCAUCUGGACGGGAGCUCCACCAACGGGGAUCUAUUUGCAUCCCUGAUUCUGCCAUACCUGAUAACUGGUGACGAAUCUAUAAAAUUCCUUACUAAAUAUCUAAGGCUCUUUGACGCCAGGCGAAAAAAUUGGUGCGAUAAUCAAUAGCGGGGAAAAAUAUUUGCAACAAAAAUUUUUAUUAUUUUUUCUGGCAAAAUUACAACUAUUGUCACAAAAAAUAAACUAUUUUGUGGCCAUACAUCAGAAAUCGUCGCAAAUAAAUACCAAUAAUAUUUAUAUUUUUUUAAAAAUAUGACAAAAGGCUCUAUUGUGACGAAACAUAAUCGCUACGAUAAAUAAUCUAAUAUUUUAUGACAAUUUUUUAUAUUUCUACAGAAAUGACUAACGUAUUUAUUGCGAUUUUCGAGACAUCGCUGCUAUUUCAUUUUUAAAAUAUUCGCAAACAAAGUUUGUAGGGAAAAAAUCAAAAAGUGUACCUUUAAUGAAGUUUUUUAGUUUGUCACAAAAAAGUCUCCACAAAAUAUUGUAUUUCUAUUGGCUACAGUUGGU
Molecule: long non-coding RNA, 1437 nt
Filed under: Ananas comosus (pineapple)
Lineage: Eukaryota; Viridiplantae; Streptophyta; Magnoliopsida; Poales; Bromeliaceae
Description: long non-coding RNA (ACOM_LNC016576)
Source: RNAcentral